GGGUCUCGGCGAGGUUUUCGACGUGUGUGGUCCGCGCCGAGGUGAGCAUAGUUGCUUGCUCACGAGUGCCAACUUAACGAUCGUACGCAACAUCAAUCGAUCGUUCGGUCUCUUUUCAUCUGCGGCUCGGCGUGCUGUGCUUUUUUGCUCGUCCCGACCAACAGGAAUCCGUGAGAUGGAAUAAAGCUCGGCGCGUGAGAUGCGCUGCCAACGAUGAGGUUUUCCGAUUGGGAGCGAACACCGAACAAGCUGUUAACACAUUCGUGCAACCACUGGACGACCAUGUGACCAUGAUAUGACGAAAUCACAUCAGAAUUACUUCUUGUCCCAAAGCGGUCCGAUUCAUGUUUUAUACGUCUCCUCAGAGUCUGCCGCUUCUUGGUAAUUCAACAAGCGUUGGAUUCGAUCGGAAUUCAUUUCCAUUCGGGAUUCCAAUGAUAAUGAAUCGGGCGCGCUCGCCUCGGCGAGAUAAUCAGCGCUCGUUUAACGUCAGCGCCUGUUUUCUAAUAAGGCGUUUUUCGAUUGCGCGCGGACAUCUGCUCGCGAUGCGGCGGAAAAAAACGUUUAUUACAUAAAUUCCCCAACGGGCAGACACAUGCAUGGAUUCACAUGUGUAACAUUAAUAACAGUAGGAUUUACGCUUUUAUUAUAAUUGAUUUACGCAGGAAUUCGAAUGGAUAAAGCCGUUAUCAAUAAAUGUCUUCGAUGUUUAAA
Molecule: long non-coding RNA, 714 nt
Organism: Dalotia coriaria
Lineage: Eukaryota; Metazoa; Arthropoda; Insecta; Coleoptera; Staphylinidae
Exons: 2
Source: RefSeq, a predicted model, not a curated record